UCCACAACGCAUUUGUUCCUGAGGUCAGUUUAGUCACUAGCCAGGCCGAUAAACAAGUACAGCCCGGAAGUAAACUGCGGGCCUGACGCGUAACCGUGGCAACGCGCGUGCUUCCGAUGAAACCAAAUCCUCACAGCAGUGAUCCAUGCUCACUGUCUCUCCUCGUCUUUUGGAAACCAAAACUUUUUAUUUUCCACCACGUAUUUGUUCCAGAGGUCCGUUUAGUCGCUAGUAGCCAGACCAAAUUAUAGUAGCCUAUCUCUGGUCAGACCAAUAAACAAGCACAGACCGGAAGUUAGCUCCGUUUCGUAACCGCGGCAACGCGCGUGCGUCCGAUAAGACGUCUACUUAACUGUGGACAAUGUUCCACAGUUUUACCACAACCAGAAAUAAAUUUGCCAUUUUGAACAAUAUUCUUUAUACUUUCUGUUAUAUAAUGCAAAUACAUUUUUAUAAUUUUUACCCAGUCUGCAAAACCCAGGUUAGCUGUGCCGUAGUGUUGGUCUCAUCUGUUCCACCAGGGCAGUCAGGAUUAUUGUCGCACACUUUGUUUAUGGGCACACACAUUGAAGAGCCAGGACACGGCCAUUCGCCGGGGAGAUGGGUGUCGAUAUCUUACCACAUCCAUUCUCAUCACUAAAGUCACCACAGUCAUUGAUGCCGUCACACACCCACUGCUGAGACAUACAGCGUCCAUUACUGCAGUCAUCCCAGUGAUCACAGACGAAGGGCAUAGGAAUACAGUAUCCAUUCGUGCAUUCAAACUGAAAACAAUACAGGCAGGGUCACAUAUAUUGCUUGGAUUCUUUGACACUCACUGCAAUUGGAUUCAUCCGAACCAUCCCGACAAUCUAGCAUCCCAUCGCAGUGUUGAGCGUUGUCGUAGCACGCUCCAUUAGCGCAUGUCUUCUCUGUGCAUGCUGGGUAGUCUGAAUUCAACAACAGGAAAUUUCACACUUUGGUGUUUUAUUGGCAUUCCAAAACCUGAUGAUCUUAGAUCUUUAUAGUGCGUUCCCUAGCAGCUAUUACUUGUCAUUCUAGUAACUGAUUUAUCCUGAGACUUUUAUGUGCUAAAUAAAUGUUGAAGUCAAGCAUUUUUAGUCUUGUAAAGAUAAUUGUGCUUAUGACUUUUAUGACAUUCAUCACAGGGCUGUUUGCAAUAAAUUUUUGCUUCGGUAAUUCAGAUUCUGUUUUGAAUAAUGCUGUACUCUGGGCAUUUCUAAAACAUUAGUGACACAAAUCUCA
Misgurnus anguillicaudatus (oriental weatherfish) is the source of this 1245-nucleotide long non-coding RNA. RefSeq lists it as uncharacterized. NCBI's taxonomy places the organism in Eukaryota, Metazoa, Chordata, Actinopteri, Cypriniformes, Cobitidae. The record is from RefSeq and is a predicted model, not a curated record.